Molecule: unclassified non-coding RNA, 219 nt
Filed under: Hevea brasiliensis (rubber tree)
Lineage: Eukaryota; Viridiplantae; Streptophyta; Magnoliopsida; Malpighiales; Euphorbiaceae
Source: RNAcentral
AGUGAUUGCUAUCUCACCUGAUCAAGCAACUCCGAGGCUUUCUCCCCUAUGGUGGGCUGAACUCGAGAUAUUAUCUGUUGAGGCGACUUAAGUUCUGCCUGACACUUAUCUCAGUAUUGUAAGUCAUGUCUCUCUCACAUUUCAUGCCAAAAUCUAAAUAAUCAGUUUUUUGAUUGCUGCUUCUCUCCACAUCACUUAAUACCAUCACUAUGCAGCUUC